Molecule: ribosomal RNA, 370 nt
Filed under: uncultured organism
Description: bacterial SSU rRNA
Rfam family: Bacterial small subunit ribosomal RNA
Source: RNAcentral
CGUAGGGUGCGAGCGUUAAUCGGAAUUACUGGGCGUAAAGCGUGCGCAGGCGGUUAUAUAAGACAGAUGUGAAAUCCCCGGGCUCAACCUGGGAACUGCAUUUGUGACUGUAUAGCUAGAGUACGGCAGAGGGGGAUGGAAUUCCGCGUGUAGCAGUGAAAUGCGUAGAUAUGCGGAGGAACACCGAUGGCGAAGGCAGUCCCCUGGGCCUGUACUGACGCUCAUGCACGAAAGCGUGGGGAGCAAACAGGAUUAGAUACCCUGGUAGUCCACGCCCUAAACGAUGUCAACUGGUUGUUGGGUCUUCACUGACUCAGUAACGAAGCUAACGCGUGAAGUUGACCGCCUGGGGAGUACGGCCGCAAGGUUG